UACGGAGGAGGCAAGCGUUAUCCGGAAUUAUUGGGCGUAAAGCGUCCGUAGGUGGUUUAGUAAGUCUGCUGUUAAAGCGCGGGGCUUAACUCCGUAUCGGCAGUGGAAACUACUAGACUAGAGUGUGGUAGGGGUAGAGGGAAUUCCCAGUGUAGCGGUGAAAUGCGUAGAUAUUGGGAAGAACACCGGUGGCGAAGGCGCUCUACUGGGCCAUAACUGACACUGAGAGACGAAAGCUAGGGGAGCGAAUGGG
RNAcentral lists this ribosomal RNA (253 nucleotides) under uncultured bacterium. RNAcentral's name for it is "partial 16S ribosomal RNA". It matches the Rfam family "Bacterial small subunit ribosomal RNA", at positions 524 to 776 of the family's 1533-position model. The record is from RNAcentral.